Molecule: ribosomal RNA, 822 nt
Filed under: uncultured bacterium
Lineage: Bacteria
Description: bacterial SSU rRNA
Rfam family: Bacterial small subunit ribosomal RNA
Source: RNAcentral
UNUGACUUGAGUGCAGAAGGGGAGAGUGGAAUUCCAUGUGUAGCGGUGAAAUGCGUAGAUAUAUGGAGGANCACCAGUGGCGAAAGCGGCUCUCUGGUCUGUCACUGACGCUGAGGCUCGAAAGCGUGGGUAGCGAACAGGAUUAGAUACCCUGGUAGUNCACGCCGUAAACGAUGAGUGCUAGGUGUUAGGCCCUUUCCGGGGCUUAGCGCCGGAGCUAACGCAAUAAGGACUCCGCCUGGGGAGUACGACCGCAAGGUUGAAACUCAAAGGAAUUGACGGGGGCCCGCACAAGCGGUGGAGCAUGUGGUUUAAUUCGAAGCAACGCGAAGANCCAUACCAGGUCUUGACAUCCCGAUGCUAUUCUUAGAGAUAGGAAGUUACUUCGGUACAUCGGAGACAGGUGGUGCAUGGUUGUCGUCAGCUCGUGUCGUGAGAUGUUGGGUUAAGUCCCGCAACGAGCGCAACCCUCAUUGUUAGUUGCCAUCAUUAAGUUGGGCACUCUAGCGAGACUGCCGGUAAUAAACCGGAGGAAGGUGGGGAUGACGUCAAAUCAUCAUGCCCCUUAUGACCUGGGCUACACACGUGCUACAAUGGUCGGUACAACGAGUUGCGAGCCGGUGACGGCAAGCUAAUCUCUGAAAGCCGAUCUCAGUUCGGAUUGGAGGCUGCAACUCGCCUCCAUGAAGUCGGAAUCGCUAGUAAUCGCGGAUCAGCACGCCGCGGUGAAUACGUUCCCGGGCCUUGUACACACCGCCCGUCACACCACGAGAGUUUGUAACACCCGAAGUCGGUGAGGUAACCUUUUAGGGGCCAGCCGCC